Rosa chinensis is the source of this 703-nucleotide long non-coding RNA. RefSeq lists it as uncharacterized. The record is from RefSeq and is a predicted model, not a curated record. Lineage: Eukaryota; Viridiplantae; Streptophyta; Magnoliopsida; Rosales; Rosaceae. The transcript has 4 exons.
AUAAUGGGGGAUUGGGGGCAAUGCGUCAGACUCAGAUCCACAUUUUAUGUGAGAAAUGAUUGAGACAUUGAUAGGUCCCUUUCUCCUUUAUAUAAUUCUUUGACCAGAUGAACAAUGUCUCCCUGUCGUCAGCAUGGAUAUGCUUCAAGCUUCGCUUCUUUUUCCACAUGGGUUGGCUCUGCGACUGUAAGCAAGCAAAUGUUGAAGGCAGCAGUUCGGCACGGUAGUACAAUUUUUGGUGUGGUGUCUGCCAUCAAACAAGUUGUUGUAUGCAAUUAGGGUUGGUGGACCUAAAAUCCCCAGAAUUCUAUCGUGAAUCUGAUUCUCAACGAGGAAGGGACCAUACGGUAAACAUUGCAGUUAAGUGAAGGCUGAUAUCAGUUACCACAGAGAGCAAUGGAAAGAUUCAAAUCAACACCACGACUUGCCGAAGAAAAGGCAGAACAGUCUUUAUAUUUUAAUGAUGAGAUUGCACCACCCAUCUCUUCACUUGAAGAAGCAUUGCUCAUGUGAGAAGAGGGAUGAGGCAACGAGAGAGACAACGAUAACUGACAGUCUCCACCUUCGAUUUGAAGAAGGGGUUGAAGUUGUAAAGAAAAUGAUGCUGCUGUGGCAGAGACACCCCAUUUGCCAGCACCCCGCCGUAAUCAUUAAAAGUGUACGGUGCCGUUUCAUGUGUUGUUUGGCUCCAUUGCCGCUGCUG